UACGUAGGGGGGCAAGCGUUGUCCGGAUUUAUUGGGCGUAAAGAGCGUGUAGGCGGCCUGACAGGUCUGCUGUGAAAACUCGAGGCUCAACCUCGAGAUGUCGGCGGAAACCGUCUGGCUAGAGUCCGGAAGAGGAGAGUGGAAUUCCUGGUGUAGCGGUGAAAUGCGCAGAUAUCAGGAAGAACACCAAUGGCGAAGGCAGCUCUCUGGGACGGUACUGACGCUGAGACGCGAAAGCGUGGGAGCGAACAGG
Molecule: ribosomal RNA, 253 nt
Filed under: uncultured bacterium
Lineage: Bacteria
Description: partial 16S ribosomal RNA
Rfam family: Bacterial small subunit ribosomal RNA
Source: RNAcentral